AUGCAAAAUCCCAUUCCGAACACAGAUACAAAAGAUUGCAUUGCAUGGCAUUUUGAGAAGAAUGGUAUCUUUUCGGUCAGGAGUGCGUACAAGCUUGUAGCCUUCUCUAGUCAAAGUGUCCAAACAAAUCCCUCGUGUUCGAACGGAGAGGCUGGGGAUCGUAACAUUUGUGAUCUCAUUUGGAAAGCUAAGGUGCCCGAGAAGGUGAGGAUUUUUGGAUGGAGAGUCGCCAUAAAUACCCUGGCCACAAAGAGAAACAAGUUUAAGAGAACAUUAGAGCUAGAACCUACCUGCAGUAUCCGCGGCAAUGGAGAGGAAGAUGAAUUUCACGCCGUGAUCACUUGCACAAAGAGCAGGGCUCUUCGUGAUGCUAUGAGGAAAGAGUGGCCCUUACCUGCAGAGAAAUUCUUUAGGAACACCGGGAAUGAUUGGUUGCAAGUGCUCUUGGACACGGAACCAGAGGAUAUGCGAGCAAAACGGUUGCUGCUGUUUUGGAGAUGUUGGCACUUGAGAGAGGAUACGCUAAGACACAAUGGCAGGGAGUCA
Molecule: ribosomal RNA, 546 nt
Filed under: Triticum aestivum (bread wheat)
Lineage: Eukaryota; Viridiplantae; Streptophyta; Magnoliopsida; Poales; Poaceae
Description: partial small subunit ribosomal RNA
Source: RNAcentral